AUGAACGCUGGCGGCGUGCUUAACACAUGCAAGUCGAACGGCCCUUCGGGGCAGUGGCAAACGGGUGAGUAACGCGUUGGUAUCUACCUUUGUCUUCGGCAUAACCCCUCGAAAGAGGGGCUAAUACCGAAUAGUCUCUUCGGAGUAAAGCUUUUGCGGACAAAGAGGAACCUGCGUCCUAUCAGCUUGUUGGUGAGGUAAUGGCUCACCAAGGCUAUGACGGGUAGCUGAUUUGAGAGGAUGAUCAGCCACAAUGGGACUGAGACACGGCCCAUACUCCUACGGGAGGCAGCAGUGAGGAAUUUUGCGCAAUGGACGAAAGUCUGACGCAGCAACGCCGCGUGAAGGAUGAAGACCUUCGGGUUGUAAACUUCUUUUUUAAGGGACGAAGUCCGACGGUACCUUAAGAAUAAGCACCGGCUAACUACGU
RNAcentral lists this ribosomal RNA (430 nucleotides) under uncultured bacterium. RNAcentral describes it as "bacterial SSU rRNA". It matches the Rfam family "Bacterial small subunit ribosomal RNA", at positions 29 to 506 of the family's 1533-position model. The record is from RNAcentral.